AUGGUUGUAUGGCUGCUGUUUCUCAUUUUUGUCAGUGGCCUUCAUAAUCCCGGAUUAACUAGCUUAGCUGUUCUUCUGAUUCAUGGGAGGCCAAGACCGAUGUCUGGGAGUUUCGCUGAUAGCGCCUUCUUUACUAGUGGAGGUGCUUCAUUAGUAACUUGCCACACAGACAAAUUGAUUUCUCCUUUUCUGUUUGUUCAUGUGUUGAUGUUCUGUUGGUUUGAUUCGGGGAGCUCAGUCCCAUUGUCCGGCCGCCGUUCUCUUGGUGGAUCUGAGUUUACCAAGCUCCCGAAAGGUAUUCAGGUGGCGCUUAGAGCACAAAUCCGUCUGAUGGAUCUUGGGUUACGCUCGCCCCCAAAUUCCUGUUUAAUCUUUCUUCAUGCUUUCUUUUGUCUUGUAUAA
RNAcentral lists this ribosomal RNA (402 nucleotides) under Triticum aestivum (bread wheat). The record is from RNAcentral. Lineage: Eukaryota; Viridiplantae; Streptophyta; Magnoliopsida; Poales; Poaceae.